Molecule: ribosomal RNA, 251 nt
Filed under: uncultured prokaryote
Description: partial 16S ribosomal RNA
Rfam family: Bacterial small subunit ribosomal RNA
Source: RNAcentral
ACGUAGGAGGCGAGCGUUAUCCGGAUUUACUGGGCGUAAAGCGCGUGCAGGCGGCUCGAAAAGUUGGAUGUGAAAGCUCCUGGCUUAACUGGGAGAGGUCGUUCAAUACUUUCGAGCUAGAGGAUGGGAGAGGGAGGUGGAAUUCCGGGUGUAGUGGUGAAAUGCGUAGAUAUCCGGAGGAACACCAGUGGCGAAGGCGGCUUGCUGGGCCUGAACUGACGCUCAGACGCGAAAGCAUGGGGAGCGAACGG